GGGGGGCAGCAGUGGGGAAUAUUGGACAAUGGGGGCAACCCUGAUCCAGCCAUGCCGCGUGAGUGAUGAAGGCCUUAGGGUUGUAAAGCUCUUUCACCGGUGAAGAUAAUGACGGUAACCGGAGAAGAAGCCCCGGCUAACUUCGUGCCAGCAGCCGCGGUAAUACGAAGGGGGCUAGCGUUGUUCGGAUUUACUGGGCGUAAAGCGCACGUAGGCGGAUAUUUAAGUCAGAGGUGAAAUCCCAGGGCUCAACCCUGGAACUGCCUUUGAUACUGGGUAUCUUGAGUAUGGAAGAGGUGAGUGGAAUUCCGAGUGUAGAGGUGAAAUUCGUAGAUAUUCGGAGGAACACCAGUGGCGAAGGCGGCUCACUGGUCCAUUACUGACGCUGAGGUGCGAAAGCGUGGGGAGCAAACAGGAUUAGAUACCCCGG
Molecule: ribosomal RNA, 430 nt
Filed under: uncultured bacterium
Lineage: Bacteria
Description: bacterial SSU rRNA
Rfam family: Bacterial small subunit ribosomal RNA
Source: RNAcentral